This 511-nucleotide ribosomal RNA is filed under the name uncultured bacterium. RNAcentral's name for it is "bacterial SSU rRNA". It matches the Rfam family "Bacterial small subunit ribosomal RNA", at positions 28 to 523 of the family's 1533-position model. The record is from RNAcentral.
AAUCAACGCUGGCGGCGUGCCUAACACAUGCAAGUCGAACGCGAGAGGGGCUUCGGCCCCGAUUGAGUGGCGAACGGGUGAGUAACGCGUGGGUGACCUACCUUCGAGUGGGGGAUAACGUCCCGAAAGGGACGCUAAUACCGCAUAACAUCCUGCUUUUGAAUGGGUGGAGAUCAAAGCCGGGGAUCGCAAGACCUGGCGCUUGAUGAGGGGCCCGCGUCUGAUUAGCAGUUGGUGAGGUAACGGCCCACCAAGGCAACGAUCAGUAUCCGGCCUGAGAGGGCGGACGGACACACUGGGACUGAGACACGGCCCAGACUCCUACGGGAGGCAGUAGUGGGGAAUUGUUCGCAAUGGGCGCAAGCCUGACGACGCAACGCCGCGUGGAGGAUGAAGGUCUUCGGAUUGUAAACUCCUGUUGCCCGGGACGAAUGGCUCCGACCUAACACGUCGGAGUGUGACGGUACCGGGUGAGGAAGCCCGGCUAACUCUGUGCCAGCCGCCGCCGUAA